RNAcentral lists this ribosomal RNA (821 nucleotides) under uncultured microorganism. RNAcentral's name for it is "bacterial SSU rRNA". It matches the Rfam family "Bacterial small subunit ribosomal RNA", at positions 99 to 956 of the family's 1533-position model. The record is from RNAcentral.
CGUACGGGUGAGUAACACGCGAGUAUCUACACAUAGGAGAGGAAUAACAUUUGGAAACAAUUGAUAAUACCUCGUAAUGCUAUUAAUUUAGUUAAAGACUUUUCGCCUAUGUAUGAGCUUGCGGCUGAUUAGCUAGUUGGUGUAGGUAAAGGCUUACCAAGGCGAUUAUCAGUAGCUGCUUUGAGAGAAGAGGCAGCCACACUGGGAUUGAGAUACAGAACAGACUUCUACGGGAGGCAGCAGUGGGGAAUAUUUGGCAAUGGGUGAAAGCCUGACCGAGCAAUACCGCGUGAAGGAAGAAGGCCUUUGGGUUGUAAACUUCUUUAGUCAACGAAGAAUAUAUGACUUAAGUUGAAAAAUAAGCACCGGCUAAUUACGUGCCAGCAGCCGCGGUAAUUCUUAAGGUGCGAGCGUUGUACGGAAUUAUUGGGCGUAAAGCGUCUGUAGAUUGUAAUAACUAACUUCUUUGUCAAAGGCUGGAGCUUAACUUUAGUGUGGCAUUGAAAAAUGGUUUACUUGAGUAUGAUAGGGGUAGGGGGGAAUUUUUAGUGUAGCGGUGAAAUGCGUAGAUAUUAGAAAGAACACCAAUGGCGAAAGCACCCUAGUUGGUUAAUACUGACAUUGAGAGACGAAAGCGAGGGGAGCAAAACGGAUUAGAUACCCGUGUAGUCCUGGCUGUAAACGAUGAACACUUGGUGAUAUUUACAUUGCCGUAGCCAACGCGUUAAGUAUUCCGCCUGGGGAGUAUGCUUGCAAAAGUGAAACUCAAACGAAUUGACGGGGGCCCGCACAAGUGGUGGAGCAUGCAAUUUAAUUAGAUG